Molecule: long non-coding RNA, 1153 nt
Organism: Hipposideros armiger (great roundleaf bat)
Lineage: Eukaryota; Metazoa; Chordata; Mammalia; Chiroptera; Hipposideridae
Exons: 3
Source: RefSeq, a predicted model, not a curated record
CUCCAAUAUAGUGCAUUGCCUUCUUGGCGGAGUAGGAAAGUGAGCCGGCGUCCCGGUUCUGAGUGGCUAGCGUUGGAAGCAGUGAAUAUUUCAAAAAACAUUCAUUUCUUUUUGGGAAUCGUGUUAUGAGAAAGGACUCAAUUUUCCGAUGCCCUUAGCCGUAGGGCUAAGCCUACAUUUGGUGCUGAUGAUGAGGGAGUCAGAAAGAAUGGUCCAACAGAACCGAGCUGGCCCAGCUAUGGCUGCUUCCAAGCACAAUGUGGAUCACUGAAGACAGUACUGGAAGCGCCAUUUGCAGGUACAGACUGCAGUCAUCAUUAAAUGAUCCAGAAGGUAGAAACUGCUGUUAUUGGGAGGGUGGGGGGUGGGGUGAGGGGUGGGGAGCACUUGACUGGGCAAUACUAGUAGGAGAUGAAAUGAUUAGGGAACAAUGAGGUUAUAAGAAAAAUAUCACUGCCCUUAUUUGGGUUAAACAGGUCAUGUUGAGAAGAUGGUUAUUUAAGAUAAGGGUGCUACAUUAAUCAUAUAUGCAGCAUGAAUACAUUAGAAUCAAGCUGCACCCAAUUAAGAAAAAGAAAAAUUCCCUAAGUAACCUUUAAAAGUAUGUUACCUGCCAGUCACAGAAGGGAAAAGCACCUGGGGUGAACUCCAAUUUAAUGAGGACCUUGAUCAGGACCACAAAGCCUGAAACACAUUUGUUUUAAUGCAGAAACACAGCCUCUAGUCACACUGGUUAAGUCUGGGGAAAAUUGGAGGGGUUUUUUUUGGUUUUUUUUUUACAUUUUUGUUUCAAUAACUAAGGAUUCUAAAUCUUCAACCAGCAUUAGAAUUGAACCACUUCCAAAUCCUAAGACACGUAAGACCAAAGAGAAGCAAUAGCCAUACAAAUUAAUAUGUGGCCCUCUCCUUACUGCUCUAAGGGAAUUUUCAAACCAGUAUCACAUUUAGGAAUCAAAGUGUUAAUUCUUCAGCAUUCCUGACAAUUAAAAGCACAUUCACUGAAGGCUGAAGGUGAGGAACCGGAUGGUUUAACUUUAAUAUCUGUGAAGAAUGGCUCCAAUAGAGGAAAGAAAACCAUCCAAUCUCAGUAAGGAUUAAUGCAAAUUUGGCUAGAAAAAGCCACCAGGUAUUCCAAGGGUUCACUGUGGAAGAA